This 465-nucleotide ribosomal RNA is filed under the name uncultured bacterium. Its description in RNAcentral is "bacterial SSU rRNA". It matches the Rfam family "Bacterial small subunit ribosomal RNA", at positions 34 to 518 of the family's 1533-position model. The record is from RNAcentral.
CGCUGGCGGCAUGCUUCAUACAUGCAAGUCGAACGAUAAGGUCUCUUCGGAGAUACAUAAGUGGCGGACGGGUGAGUAAUAUGUAGGAAAUCUGCCCUUGAGAGGGGGACAACAGAGGGAAACUUCUGCUAAUACCCCAUAUGAGCGUACCUGAAAUGGUAUUCUUGAAAACUCCGGUGCUCAAGGAUGAGCCUGCAUCUGAUUAGCUUGUUGGCGGUGUAAUGGACCACCAAGGCGACGAUCAGUAGCUGGUUUGAGAGGAUGAUCAGCCACAAUGGGACUGAGACACGGCCCAUACUCCUACGGGAGGCAGCAGUAGGGAAUUUUGCGCAAUGGGCGAAAGCCUGAACCGCAGCAAUGCCGCGUGAACGUAGAAGCCCUUCGGGGUGUAAAGUUCUGUCAGUGGGGACGAAUUUUGACGGUACCCACAGAGGAAGCACCGGCUAACUCCGUGCCAGCCGCAGC